UGCCAGCCGCCGCGGUAAUACGGAGGGGGUUAGCGUUGUUCGGAAUUACUGGGCGUAAAGCGUACGUAGGCGGAUUAAUAAGUUAGAGGUGAAAUCCCUCGGCUCAACCGAGGACGUGCAUUGGAAACUGAUGGUCUUGAGUCCUGGAGAGGAAGGCGGAAUUCCCAGUGUAGAGGUGAAAUUCGUAGAUAUUGGGAGGAACACCAGCGGCGAAGGCGGCCUUCUGGACAGUGACUGACGCUGAGGUGCGAAAGCGUGGGUAGCAAACAGGAUUAGAUA
This 279-nucleotide ribosomal RNA is filed under the name uncultured bacterium. Its description in RNAcentral is "partial 16S ribosomal RNA". It matches the Rfam family "Bacterial small subunit ribosomal RNA", at positions 506 to 784 of the family's 1533-position model. The record is from RNAcentral.